This 96-nucleotide signal recognition particle RNA is filed under the name Methylophilaceae bacterium. RNAcentral describes it as "signal recognition particle sRNA small type". It matches the Rfam family "Bacterial small signal recognition particle RNA". Rfam says of the family: The signal recognition particle (SRP) is a universally conserved ribonucleoprotein involved in the co-translational targeting of proteins to membranes. The record is from RNAcentral. Lineage: Bacteria; Pseudomonadati; Pseudomonadota; Betaproteobacteria; Nitrosomonadales; Methylophilaceae.
GGCGGGUCUCCUCGCAUUGUAAUGUAGCCAACCUGGUCAGAUGCGGAAGCAAGCAGCCACAACUAUUGCACAAGUGCCGGGGUAAGGCUCGCCACC